This 514-nucleotide ribosomal RNA is filed under the name uncultured bacterium. RNAcentral's name for it is "partial 16S ribosomal RNA". It matches the Rfam family "Bacterial small subunit ribosomal RNA", at positions 28 to 523 of the family's 1533-position model. The record is from RNAcentral.
GAUGAACCCUGGCGGCGUGCCUAAUACAUGCAAGUCGAGCGAACUGAUUAGAAGCUUGCUUCUAUGACGUUAGCGGCGGACGGGUGAGUAACACGUGGGCAACCCGCCUGUAAGACUGGGAUAACUUCGGGAAACCGACGCUAAUACCGGAUAGGAUCUUCUCCUUCAUGGGAGAUGAUUGAAAGAUGGUUUCGGCUAUCAGUUACAGAUUGGCCCGCGGUGCAUUAGCUAGUUGGUGAGGUAACGGCUCACCAAGGCAACGAUGCAUAGCCGACCUGAGAGGGUGAUCGGCCACACUGGGACUGAGACACGGCCCAGACUCCUACGGGAGGCAGCAGUAGGGAAUCUUCCGCAAUGGACGAAAGUCUGACGGAGCAACGCCGCGUGAGUGAUGAAGGCUUUCGGGUCGUAAAACUCUGUUGUUAGGGAAGAACAAGUACGAGAGUAACUGCUCGUACCUUGACGGUACCUAACCAGAAAGCCACGGCUAACUACGUGCCAGCCGCCGCCGUAA